This 465-nucleotide ribosomal RNA is filed under the name uncultured bacterium. RNAcentral's name for it is "partial 16S ribosomal RNA". It matches the Rfam family "Bacterial small subunit ribosomal RNA", at positions 28 to 507 of the family's 1533-position model. The record is from RNAcentral.
GACGAACGCUGGCGGCGUGCUUAACACAUGCAAGUCGAACGGAAAGGCCCUGCUUGCAGGGUAUUCGAGUGGCGAACGGGUGAGUAACACGUGGGUGAUCUGCCCUGCACUUCGGGAUAAGCCUGGGAAACUGGGUCUAAUACCGGAUAGGAGCCAUUUUUAGUGUGAUGGUUGGAAAGUUUUUUCGGUGUAGGAUGAGCUCGCGGCCUAUCAGCUUGUUGGUGGGGUAAUGGCCUACCAAGGCGGCGACGGGUAGCCGGCCUGAGAGGGUGGACGGCCACAGUGGGACUGAGAUACGGCCCAGACUCCUACGGGAGGCAGCAGUGGGGAAUAUUGCACAAUGGGCGCAAGCCUGAUGCAGCGACGCCGCGUGGGGGAUGACGGCCUUCGGGUUGUAAACUCCUUUCGCUAGGGACGAAGCUUUUUGUGACGGUACCUAGAUAAGAAGCACCGGCUAACUACGUG